UCUGGCAAAGGCCGGCAGCUGCGGCUCCGAUUCCACCUGUGGCCUGGGGACCUCCAUAUGCCAAGGGAGCGGCCCUAGAAAAGGCAAAAAGACAAAAAUAAAAUAAAGAAUCAAUUCCUGCUUAAACUAGGUCAUUCUACCUACAUCUUACUUCCAAACAUGGUGAUCACUCACUUUGAUUUCUUACCAUUUUCAAUCAUGACGUUCUUUAUAUUCCUGAUCUUCAGUCAUCACCAUAACUAUCAGGUAAUAGAUACUAUUACAGUUGUCUUUUGUAGAUCAGGAAAAUAAAGCUUAGGUAUCAGAGUUCCCUGGCAGCCUAGCGGUUAAGGAUUCAGCAGUUGUCACUACUGUGGCUCAGGUUUGAUCCCAGGCCCCAGGAACUUGCACGUGCCGAAGGUGUCGCAUAAAUAAAUAAAAUAAUAAAUAAGGCUUAGGUAUCAAGUAUCCUACCUCAAUCCUUUUACCCAAAUGUUGCAAAGGAAGCUGAUGUGCUGGCCUGGCUAAGCACCUUGAAGAGAGAAGACAGCAAAAAACACCCAGCCUAUGGCCAGUUGGGUAACUGAUGUCUGGGAAGCUGUAAAUACUUGAGGAAAGUCACAGAACAAGUUCAAGAGCAACCUCAAAGCCAAACCUCAGGCCUUGGGGUGCAGUUUCACAGAUAUUCCACUAGAAAGACAUUAAUUCAGAGCCUUAAAUCUAUGAAAAUUUUAUGCCAUCAUAGAGUUCAGUAUUUUUGCCAACAUUAGCAUAAUGGAUCGCAAAGUCCACAGGGUUGAAAAAUGCCAUUGACAUAAUGAAAACUGAACAUCAUCUGAUUAUUGAGUGCUAUGUCAGCAAGUUAAAAGGAUCCUUCGCAUGCCUUUUAACAGCCUAUAGCCUAAAACCAAAGUGGUCAAUAUGGACAAACAUCCAGAUUGAAACUUGGGCAGUGAAUUACAAACACAACAAAUCAAUUGAACACAGCAGAUCUUGUCAGACUCAUGAAUAAUUAAAUGCAUUUUUACACUACUGUGUGGUUGGUAUUCACAGGUCUGAACUGGAAAAGCCAUCAAUCGAAGAAUAAUUGUAACCUCAGCCUUGUUCAGGGAGGAAUCAUUAUUUUGAGGUGAUAAGAGGUAAAAUGAUGAAAAUGUUGACAAGCUAAUGAGCGAAGUUGGAGGGAAAGUGUUUCACAUAGAGAGGCCCGCUGGUAUGAAUGUAGAGAGUCAAAACUGGGGAAAGUAGGAAAGUGGAAACAUGAGACAUAGGCUGGCACUAAACAAAUGAAGGCCCAAGAACCAGGCCUGGCUAAUGAGAGCAUCUCAUGGGCCAGCUACAGUGAUUGGUUCAGCUAGGAGGAUGUAAUAUAAGCUGAGCCAAUGAGAAUUAGCCCUGCGUCUUUGGGGAAAGAUGUCCUCCCCUUCUGGAGCUUGCUGAGCUGAUAUAAAAUCUCUAGGUACCAUCUUUCCACUGCCUGAGAAUGAAGAAAAAUGAAGCUGAGAAAUGUAAAAGAGAUCCUAACAACAUCAUUUAUCCUGUUGCUGCCAGAUCUGUAUCCGAGAAUCUUCAGCAACUUAAGAUGGAAGAUGAAAGCUGUUAAUAUUAUGUCUCAGCACAAGGCGUGAAACUGUGUGUAUCAUACCUGUGUCUCCACCACCAGGUAAAGAAGAGACCUUAACCAGCAUCCCUGAAGCCCCCUCCACCCCACCCAUGAUCCUUCCAAUCACUGUCCUCUCUCCCCCAAAGGUAGCCUCUAUCCUGUCGUCUAAAGCCAUAGCUUCGUUUGCGCCUGGGUUUUUUGUUCGUGUGUGUUUAUAUAAAUGAAAUCAUGCAGUGCGUAGCUCUUUUUUGCCAGGCUUUUUUUGUUUUGUUUUGUUUUGUUUUUGCUCCAUAUUAUGCUUAUGAGAGUCAGCCAUGUUGCUCAGAAAAGCUGUAGUCUGUUAGUUUGUGUUGCUGUAUCCUAUUACCUUGUAUAAGAUGUCAUAAUUGAUACACAAGGUCAACACUGAAGGAUACUUGGGAUACUUCGUUUCCUUCUAGCUGGAGGCUCUUACCAGAAAUGCUUCUGUGAACAUUCUUGUCCUUGGGUAAACAUAGACACUUGUUUCUGUUGGGUCUACACUUCCGGGUAAGUUGCUGAGUCAUGGAGUCAGCGCGUGUUCAACUGGGAUGAUAAUGCCAAACCGGUUUUUAAAGUGGUCAUACUAACACACACUCAUACUAGCAGAAUGUCAGCAGUCCCGUUGUUUUGUAUCUCCCUAUUCUUAGUAUUAUGUAGCAUUUUCAUGUUAGCCACUUUGCUAGGUAUGUAUAUAUUUGUAUUUCCUUGUGUUAUUAAAGUACUGUCUUUUUUUGGCUCACGGUAUGCCGAAGUGUCAGGGCCAGGGAUCAAACGCCCCCUACAGCAGUGACCUGAGCCACAGCGGUGUCAAGGCUAGAUCCUUAACCCGCUGAGCCACCAUGGAAUUCCUCAAGUACUAUAUUUUAAUUAACAACUAAUUGUGUUUCUUUUUAUAGCAGAACAGAAAGAACCAUUUAUAACCUCAUAAUGUGCUUUAAAAUAUCUUUGGCACCAAGUCCACAUCAUCCUAUUUCCUUUUAGGCCCAUCUUGGUGAGAAGUCUAUGUCCCAACUAAUAUAAAAACAAUAACAUAGACAUAUGACAGGCCCAGCUGACCCAUUUAGCAAACAGAAAGAUUCAUCUAAUAUCUCCUCGAAAUAAAGUAGGAUAGAGAAAUAAAAGCAAGGCAGAAAAACAACCAGCUUUUGAAAAUAAAGUGUGGCGUUCUCUCAUGGUGCAGCAGGUUAUAGGUCCUUCAUUGUCACUGCAGUGGCUUGGGUCACCGCUGUGGUGCGGGUUCCAUCCCCGGCCCAGGAACUUCCACAUGCCACAGGCAGAGCUAAAAAUUUAGAAAAAUAAAUAAAGAGUAAGCUGUAAAAUAAUCGAAUAUUACAGUUAGAUUCAUCUAAUUCAGCCAACUCGGGGCCAGGAGAGGUUAAAUGGUCAAGACCUACCCCAGCUGCAAACAGCCAGAACUAGAAUUCUACUCCAUUUACCCCUAAUCUUUUCUAGGAUACUCAACAUUUUAUUCAAUGUAUGUUCUUAAGUCUAAAAUUUCUCUUUAAACUCAGUUAAGUUUCCCAGAGUUCAGGUUCAUUUUGUAAGUGCACGUAGUUAACCAUGAAAGAACGCUCUGUCCACGUGUUGUAGUUAUACAGCCAUGCUUUCUCUCUCUGACUAAUUAGAAGACAACUCGACACUGAAAUCCAAUCCCAACAGAACACUAUAGCCAGAGAGCUGUCUGGCUAUCACUCUGCAGAAAGACACAGCAGUCUGUCUAAAUUCUCACUGCUUCCCUUGUCAGCAAGUCAGGGCUUGGAGUUUUAUAAAGGAAUCCAUGUCAAUCCCCAGCUCUGUCUUCCUCUGAGGAUUCCUGGGGGCUGGGGGUGGGGGGCUAGCUCCGUAAUGCAAUGGCUUUCUUGUCGGAAGAUAUCACCGUUGACCCAGUCAGCAGACCGUGGACUUUGACUUAUGGCUCCUCACGGAUCCAUAUACAUUCAUACUCAGAGCUUCUACAUGACAAAUGGCAUACAACUGCAAAUGCCUAGCCUCUGGCUGCUGACCAGAAUAUAGCUAAUUUAUCCCUAUAAGGUUCAUGGUUUGCGUCUUCGCUAACAGCAUCAGCAGACCAGCUAUAGACUCUUAACUUUCACCAUCUUGAUCUGGGAAAUAUAAUUUCUCCUCUAUUUCAUUGCGCUUAUUAAUGUAAAGUAUUGUAUUCCCUAAAUCAAAACAGCAGCCCACAGGCAUACUUAGCUUAACCAUCGCAGCCUUUAAAAUCUAUUUGAAUUCAUGCCCACAUUUGAAAUCUAGAGCGUUCAUAUAAAAAUUCAGAUGAUCGGCCUUUCUUGAAAUAUCAGAGGCUCUAGCCAUUCAGGGACCUCGUUCCUGGUGACAGCCCGGACGAGCUGACGGGGGUGGCCUCCUUCAGUGAGAACACAGCUCCCUAACUCACCAGUCACCUACACAGGCCAGUUCACUCCUCUAUGUUGCCUUCCUGACCCACAGAGGUAUUUGAAUUUGUGAUUCUUGCCCUAAUCAAAUAGUAUCAAGGCCAGGUUUCUGCCUGGAGCUCAAUGCCAGGGCUUUGGCAGCAACUCGAAGGCCCUCCAAGCAGGCUCUGUAUAAUUCUGGUCCCCUGCAGGCCCCUGCUGGAUUGCCCAGCACUGUCUUUGCCAUGCCCUUUCUGCAGGCUGGAUAUUGGCAUAACACAGAGCUCCUCUGGCAUACAAUGGGGCUGCAUUCAUUUGGGGAGAUCUGGGACUUCCGCUCUGCACCAGGAACCUGAUUCCCAUUCUCUCAGAAAAAAUGCUGAGGGAUGUAGUUGAGUUUUCUCUAAUCUGCAGAAAAUUCAAUUGGCAAGAUCUGCAAGUUUGGCUCUGCUUUGAAGCAUCUGCAUCCCUCCCCCCACCGUGAGUCAGUGCAUUCAACAAUGCUAUUUAAAAUUCAAUAAAUACAAGGCAAAUGAAAUGACCAAAAUGGAUCCUCACUUUUCUGAAAAAAAAAAAAAAAAAAAAAACUAAACAAAUGCU
Sus scrofa (pig) is the source of this 4575-nucleotide non-coding RNA. Lineage: Eukaryota; Metazoa; Chordata; Mammalia; Artiodactyla; Suidae. The record is from RefSeq and is a predicted model, not a curated record.